Long non-coding RNA from Cyprinus carpio (common carp), 2468 nucleotides. RefSeq lists it as uncharacterized. The transcript is spliced from 2 exons. Lineage: Eukaryota; Metazoa; Chordata; Actinopteri; Cypriniformes; Cyprinidae. The record is from RefSeq and is a predicted model, not a curated record.
GUACCAGAAUGAAGUAUGAGAAUUGAGAUAGAGAAAGCUCUUCAGUGACUGUGUUUUGUAGUCCAUUUGUUAAUUUGACUUUUGUUCACCCCAGUGGAAGAAAUUGGGUCAGGUUUAAGUGUAUUAGCAAAUUCUGCACUGGGAAGAUUGGAAGCAUAGUCAACAUACCUUCUUCGUACUUUUGUAAUUUUUUUGAUUAUCGUGUGUGUGUGUGAAAAUGUUAAUGCUAAAACCAUCUUUCUGUCUGCAGGGCUAUGAUAACACAGAGAGUAGUGUUCGCAAGGCCAGCGUGUUCUGUUUGGUGUCCAUCUAUUCUGUGAUUGGUGAGGAGCUGAAGCCACAUUUGGCCCAGCUCACGGGUAGCAAGAUGAAGUUGCUAAAUCUGUAUAUUAAGAGGGCCCAGACCACCACCAGCAACAGCAGCAGUUCUUCAGACAUGUCGUCUUACAGCUAGCCGGAUGUACUCUAAUCAGUGCCCUACACGUGCAUUUGGGAACAUAGUUGUGCCUCCUCCAGAAUCUUUUUUUUUUUUUGUAUUGCUUCAUCACAGUCUUGCUGGAUUUUCCCAGAGAGAUAUGUUGCUCACUGCAAAUCAGACUUUUUUUUUUUUUUCAUCCAGCUCCUGGAAACCUCUUAGUGUCUCAUGCAUCUUUCCAUCUGUGAAACAUUGAAUGUAAAGAAAAAUGCAUGCCGGCUUUUUGAUAGGGAACAGAUCUUCCAUGAUUGGCACUGCUUAUAUAAUUGGAGCAACCAAGCUAUCUUCAGCUUCUGAAGAGGUGAUUCGUUAACUACAUUUAUUAGUAAUAACUUAUUCAUGUUUGCAAGUGGUGUUAAAGGUUUAAUUGAGUUAUCUAUAUAUUUUAAAUGGACACAAUUGGCUUAACUAAUACAUCACUUGAAUUUAAAUCAAUGCUAGUGGAUCAUUUGGCUGGCCGAGUGAUAAAUGUAAAGAAAAGAGAAAAAUGUAAGUAAUUUGUAGGUUUGGCUACAAUGACAACCAAAAAAACAAACAAACAAAAAACGUAGGAUUAAAACAUUCUUAUAUUCAUUUUUAUUUAAUGGGACCGCAAUACCACAUCCCAUAAUGUUGAAAGUAUAGGAAAUUGUUUCCAAGUCUUUAAGAAGGCUAAUGUAAAGCAAUUGUGUUGAUUUUAUUAUCGGAUGGAUUAUGUGUUAAAAAUGUGGGCCUCACUACAGAACACAAGGACAAACUUCUGAAUGUAGAGCUUUUCCUUUCAUCUUUGGGGAAAAAAGCGAGGGUUUUGUGGGUAAACAUACAAGCCACAACAACUUGGACAUUUAAAAGUUCACACUCAGUGGAGUUGGAAACAUGACCAGGAGCGUCUUCAGACAAGAAACAAUGAAUGAAAUCAAACCGAUUUACACUUUGUUCUUGUGGCAAGAGGAUUGUGAUGGAAAUUUCAAAACUACUAUGCCUUACGUUCCUUUUUCUGCUUUCAAAACUCAGACUGUUAUAUACAUGUCCACAGGCAUUCGUAUUACACUGCUAAAGCACGGCGCUGCAAGUUUGCGCAGCACAUGUCUAUGACGCUAAUAAUGAAAACCCUCUAAUCUGGCUCAAGAACUAGAGGUGAUGUUAUGUUCUCCGAAAGGUCUGAACUCUUUCUUUUUCCUUGUUCAUCUGGAGAUUUUUUCCAUCUGAUGUUGUGCUGGGCGUUUAGUGUUUUGUACAUACCUUUAAAUCAUUGCUUCUUCCCUCCCACAAAAUUAAGGUAAAAAUGGUGUUGCACUUUUUUGCACGUUAACAAAUAGCCUGCAUGUUUUGAUGACGUAACCAUCCUGUGCUGCCGUGACUGACCUAGGUUUGGCUGUCUGUGCCACAUGUCAGUCUGUAAAUACAGUAUUAUUAUUGUUAUUAUUAAUAUGUUGCCCAGGUGGGGAAGUAGACAAGUGUAAACUCAAAUGGGUCUCACAGAGUUGAUCAAAAUGUCUAUCUGUCCUCAGGCUGUGAACCAGACCAUAUUAGAAAAUAAGGACAGACAUUUGAAAGCACCCUACUUUCCUUAAGUAUUAUAUACUGGGGCAUGUGGCUUUUAUUGGUAUGCUAAGUGUGCGUACCCUUGUAUGAUGCAGCGUUUCUUUCUAAUGGAUUUUAACUGAUUCAGAUCAUGGACCAUCAUUUUGGUUUAGACUGGGGCUAUUCAUAAAAAUAACCUGUUCCUGAAAGAACAAAUUCAGCUGUGCGGAUCAACAAUGCAAGUAUUAAGUUAAACAUGUCCCCUUGGUUUUCCUCAAAUGUUGACCUCUAAAGAUAUUCCAUCAAAUUGUUCACUACACAUAUUAGACUUUUUGUUAUUGGACACAGAUACACUCUUGUAUUUAUACAUUUAUUUUAUUUCCUGUCCCAAUGUACAGUUUUUUUUUUUUUUUCUUUUCUUCUUAAAGGCUUGUGAUAGAUUUACACCAACCUAAGUCUGGCCUAGAAUUAAAACUACCAGAAACAUGAA